GAUGAACGCUGGCGGCGUGCCUAAUACAUGCAAGUCGAGCGAACGGAUUAAGAGCUUGCUCUUAUGAAGUUAGCGGCGGACGGGUGAGUAACACGUGGGUAACCUGCCCAUAAGACUGGGAUAACUCCGGGAAACCGGGGCUAAUACCGGAUAAUAUUUUGAACUGCAUAGUUCGAAAUUGAAAGGCGGCUUCGGCUGUCACUUAUGGAUGGACCCGCGUCGCAUUAGCUAGUUGGUGAGGUAACGGCUCACCAAGGCAACGAUGCGUAGCCGACCUGAGAGGGUGAUCGGCCACACUGGGACUGAGACACGGCCCAGACUCUACGGGAGGCAGCAGUAGGGAAUCUUCCGCAAUGGGCGAAAGCCUGACGCAGCGACGCCGCGUGGGUGAUGAAGGCC
RNAcentral lists this ribosomal RNA (399 nucleotides) under uncultured bacterium. Its description in RNAcentral is "bacterial SSU rRNA". It matches the Rfam family "Bacterial small subunit ribosomal RNA", at positions 28 to 416 of the family's 1533-position model. The record is from RNAcentral.